AGAGUUUGAUCAUGGCUCAGGAUAAACGCUGGCGGCGCACAUAAGACAUGCAAGUCGAACGGACUUAACCGAAAUGUUUACAUUUUGGAGCGGUUAGUGGCGGACUGGUGAGUAACACGUAAGCAACCUGCCUGUUAGAGGGGAAUAACAGUGAGAAAUCAUUGCUAAUACCGCAUAUGCCAUAAACACCACAUGGUGAUAGUGGGAAAGGAGCAAUCCGCUAACAGAUGGGCUUGCGUCUGAUUAGAUAGUUGGUGGGGUAACGGCCUACCAAGUCGACGAUCAGUAGCCGAACUGAGAGGUUGAACGGCCACAUUGGGACUGAGAUACGGCCCAGACUCCUACGGGAGGCAGCAGUCGGGAAUAUUGCACAAUGGAGGAAACUCUGAUGCAGUGACGCCGCGUGCAGGAAGAAGGUUUUCGGAUUGUAAACUGCUUUAGACAGGGAAGAAAAAAGACAGUACCUGUAGAAUAAGCUCCGGCUAACUACGUGCCAGCAGCCGCGGUAAUACGUAGGGAGCAAGCGUUAUCCGGAUUUAUUGGGUGUAAAGGGAGUGCAGGCGGUCUUAUAAGCGUGACGUGAAAUGCAGCGGCUCAACCGUAUGAUGUGCGUCGCGAACUGUGAGACUUGAGUGUAUUCGAUGUCAGCGGAAUUUGUGGUGUAGCGGUGAAAUGCUUAGAUAUCACGAAGAACUCCGAUUGCGAAGGCAGCUGACAAGGCUACAACUGACGCUAAAGCUCGAAAGUGCGGGUAUCGAACAGGAUUAGAUACCCUGGUAGUCCGCACGGUAAACGAUGGAUGCCCGGUGUUUGCGAUAUACAGUGAGCGCCCAAGCGAAAGCGUUAAGCAUCCCACCUGGGGAGUACGCCGGCAACGGUGAAACUCAAAGGAAUUGACGGGGGCCCGCACAAGCGGAGGAACAUGUGGUUUAAUUCGAAGCAACGCGAAGAACCUUACCAGGGCUUGACAUAUACAGGAAUAGCUAAGAGAUUAGUUAGCUCUUCGGAGCCUGUAUACAGGUGGUGCAUGGUUGUCGUCAGCUCGUGUCGUGAGAUGUUGGGUUAAGUCCCGCAACGAGCGCAACCCCUGUCCUUAGUUGCCAGCGAGUAAUGUCGGGAACUCUAAGGAGACUGCCGGUGAUAAAUCGGAGGAAGGUGGGGAUGACGUCAAAUCAUCAUGCCCUUUAUGUCCUGGGCUACACACGUACUACAAUGGCCGCUACAGAGAGAAACAAGACAGUGAUGUGGAGUAAAACUCAAAAAACGGUCUCAGUUCGGAUUGAAGGCUGAAAUUCGCCUUCAUGAAGCUGGAAUUGCUAGUAAUGGCAGGUCAGCAUACUGCCGUGAAUACGUUCCCGGGCCUUGCACACACCGCCCGU
Molecule: ribosomal RNA, 1379 nt
Filed under: uncultured bacterium
Lineage: Bacteria
Description: partial 16S ribosomal RNA
Rfam family: Bacterial small subunit ribosomal RNA
Source: RNAcentral